GUGGGUAUAGUUCAGGGGUAGAGCGCCAGAUUGUGGUUCUGGUUGUCGUGGGUUCAAAUCCCACUACCCACCCUA
This 75-nucleotide transfer RNA is filed under the name Treponema putidum. RNAcentral's name for it is "tRNA-His". It matches the Rfam family "tRNA". From Rfam's summary of the family: Transfer RNA (tRNA) molecules are approximately 80 nucleotides in length. RNAcentral also lists the same sequence under 3 other names. The record is from RNAcentral. Lineage: Bacteria; Pseudomonadati; Spirochaetota; Spirochaetia; Treponematales; Treponemataceae.